UGAGAGGGACGUUUAGUUUG
This 20-nucleotide unclassified non-coding RNA is filed under the name Mus musculus (house mouse). RNAcentral describes it as "oocyte_clustered_small_RNA14282". The record is from RNAcentral. Lineage: Eukaryota; Metazoa; Chordata; Mammalia; Rodentia; Muridae.